RNAcentral lists this long non-coding RNA (219 nucleotides) under Elaeis guineensis (African oil palm). RNAcentral's name for it is "long non-coding RNA (EGUI_LNC017235)". Lineage: Eukaryota; Viridiplantae; Streptophyta; Magnoliopsida; Arecales; Arecaceae. The record is from RNAcentral.
CUCUGAUAAGAUCAGUAAGACCAAUUACAAGCUCAAGACUUGUGCCCUAAGGUUCAUGAUCUCACGCUCUACAACUCCAAUCCCCUUUGAUCUCCCCUAACUUCUUUAUGGCCCUUUGAUAUUUCUCAGGUUCUUCAUGCCCCUUCUAUAUGUUGCCUAACUCCAUGUCUGUUCGGCCACCCCUUCAUCAGUCAUGCCACUACUAUAGCCUCUCACCCC